CGGUGCUUGAAAAUGCAAUCUAAGCUCUCUCUUUUUUUUUUUUUUUUUUAAUUAAACCAGUCCAACACCACGCUGAGGUGUACGAAUGUGUCCCUUGAAGACGUGCAGUCAUUCUUCCACGCUACUGAACGGCAGCAAAGCCUGACGCGGAAUUCAUGAGAGACGUCCUCCAGCUGAUGCACGUCUGGAAGUGAACAUAUGGUAAAUGCCCAAAUGGCUCUUGCUGACAGUGGUGCUGCUGGUAGGUGACCGCUGCCCACCCGUCCUCCAGGCAUUGCACACCUGGGGCCAUUGGGAACCACCAGCAGAGAGGCUGUGAGACCACCAGGUCCCCCUGCUGCCAUCACCAUUGCACCUCUCCUGCUCGCCCUGCACCUGGUUUCCUUAUUCGUGUUACAAUUAAGUCCUGCACUGAAUAUAUUAUUGCUUUGAGAAGAGCCGGGACGAUUCUUUGUGAAGGCGCCUUCUGGCUGCCCUGGGAGAGCUCCUCAGACAGCCCUGAGACAGGCUGGCAAGUCACAUAAACCUUAAGUACGUGCCUCUGAGAAUGGAAGAUUCCCUGGGAAGCCUCAAUCUCUCGUUGUGUUACGGCCUGAUUAUCAAACAGACAAUUUACAUCUUAUUAGGUGU
This 630-nucleotide long non-coding RNA is filed under the name Numida meleagris (helmeted guineafowl). Its description in RNAcentral is "lncRNA (ENSNMEG00000006072.1)". Lineage: Eukaryota; Metazoa; Chordata; Aves; Galliformes; Numididae. The record is from RNAcentral.